GCCGAAAUAUGCUCAGUUGGGAGAGCGUUAGACUGAAGAGAUCUAAAGGUCCCUGGUUCGAUCCCGGGUUUCGGCA
This 76-nucleotide transfer RNA is filed under the name Felis catus (domestic cat). Its description in RNAcentral is "tRNA-Phe (GAA) (tRNA-Phe-GAA-7-1)". It matches the Rfam family "tRNA". Rfam says of the family: Transfer RNA (tRNA) molecules are approximately 80 nucleotides in length. Their secondary structure includes four short double-helical elements and three loops (D, anti-codon, and T loops). The record is from RNAcentral. Lineage: Eukaryota; Metazoa; Chordata; Mammalia; Carnivora; Felidae.